UACGGUUCCCAGAAUUCCCAGCAUCUACACAUCAUAGAGUAAUCCAUACUCUAUGAUGUGUAGAUGCUGGGAAUUAUGGGAACCGC
This is a non-coding RNA of Pelobates cultripes (western spadefoot toad), 86 nucleotides long. The record is from the annotation of a GenBank genome assembly. NCBI's taxonomy places the organism in Eukaryota, Metazoa, Chordata, Amphibia, Anura, Pelobatidae.